GGGGUUGUGGCUCAGUGGUAGAGUGCUUGCUUAGCAUGCAUGAGGCACUGGUAUCUAUCCCCAGCACCUCA
This 71-nucleotide transfer RNA is filed under the name Ictidomys tridecemlineatus (thirteen-lined ground squirrel). Its description in RNAcentral is "Spermophilus tridecemlineatus (thirteen-lined ground squirrel) tRNA". It matches the Rfam family "tRNA". From Rfam's summary of the family: Transfer RNA (tRNA) molecules are approximately 80 nucleotides in length. Their secondary structure includes four short double-helical elements and three loops (D, anti-codon, and T loops). The record is from Rfam by way of RNAcentral. Lineage: Eukaryota; Metazoa; Chordata; Mammalia; Rodentia; Sciuridae.